This 251-nucleotide ribosomal RNA is filed under the name uncultured bacterium. RNAcentral describes it as "partial 16S ribosomal RNA". It matches the Rfam family "Bacterial small subunit ribosomal RNA", at positions 524 to 776 of the family's 1533-position model. The record is from RNAcentral.
UACGAAGGGGGCUAGCGUUGCUCGGAAUCACUGGGCGUAAAGGGUGCGUAGGCGGGUCUUUAAGUCAGGGGUGAAAUCCUGGAGCUCAACUCCAGAACUGCCUUUGAUACUGAAGAUCUUGAGUUCGGGAGAGGUGAGUGGAACUGAGUGUAGAGGUGAAAUUCGUAGAUAUUCGCAAGAACACCAGUGGCGAAGGCGGCUCACUGGCCCGAUACUGACGCUGAGGCACGAAAGCGUGGGGAGCAAACAGG